GACGAACGCUGGCGGCGUGCUUAACACAUGCAAGUCGAACGGUAAGGCCUUCGGGUACACGAGUGGCGAACGGGUGAGUAACACGUGGGUGAUCUGCCCUGCACUUUGGGAUAAGCCUGGGAAACUGGGUCUAAUACCGAAUAGGACUGCGAUCUUCAUGGGGUGUGGUGGAAAGCUUUUGCGGUGUGGGAUUGGCCCGCGGCCUAUCAGCUUGUUGGUGGGGUAAUGGCCUACCAAGGCGACGACGGGUAGCCGGCCUGAGAGGGUGACCGGCCACACUGGGACUGAGAUACGGCCCAGACUCCUACGGGAGGCAGCAGUGGGGAAUAUUGCACAAUGGGCGCAAGCCUGAUGCAGCGACGCCGCGUGAGGGAUGACGGCCUUCGGGUUGUAAACCUCUUUCAGUAGGGACGAAGCGCAAGUGACGGUACCUAUAGAAGAAGGACCGGCCAACUACGUGCCAGCAGCCGCCGUAA
RNAcentral lists this ribosomal RNA (476 nucleotides) under uncultured bacterium. RNAcentral describes it as "partial 16S ribosomal RNA". It matches the Rfam family "Bacterial small subunit ribosomal RNA", at positions 28 to 523 of the family's 1533-position model. The record is from RNAcentral.